GCCGGGCAUGGUGGUGCACUCCUGUAAUCCCAGAGGCUUGGGAGGCUGAGACAGGAGGAUGGCAAGUUCAAGACCAGCCUCAGCAACUUAACAAGAUCCUGUUUCAA
Molecule: small RNA, 107 nt
Filed under: Marmota monax (woodchuck)
Lineage: Eukaryota; Metazoa; Chordata; Mammalia; Rodentia; Sciuridae
Source: RNAcentral